UACGUAGGUGGCGAGCGUUGUCCGGAUUUACUGGGCGUAAAGAGCGCGCAGGCGGUCGUAUAAGUCGAAUGUGAAAGCCCCUGGCUCAACUAGGGAGAGUCAUUCGAUACUGUUCGACUCGAAGGCAGGAGAGGGAAGUGGAAUUCCGGGUGUAGUGGUGAAAUGCGCAGAUAUCGGGAAGAACACCCGUGGCGAAGGCGGUUCUCUGGGACGGUACUGACGCUGAGACGCGAAAGCGUGGGGAGCGAACAGG
Molecule: ribosomal RNA, 253 nt
Filed under: uncultured bacterium
Lineage: Bacteria
Description: partial 16S ribosomal RNA
Rfam family: Bacterial small subunit ribosomal RNA
Source: RNAcentral